Molecule: long non-coding RNA, 479 nt
Filed under: Olea europaea (common olive)
Lineage: Eukaryota; Viridiplantae; Streptophyta; Magnoliopsida; Lamiales; Oleaceae
Description: long non-coding RNA (OEUR_LNC001873)
Source: RNAcentral
GGCACCAUGUAGCAAAUCAUCCAAUGGUUCAGGUGGAUUGGGAUCAUCAUCAUAUGGCUUAAAGUGCCACUUUGUUCAUCACCAAGUCAAAGCAGAAGCAAAAGCCCUCUCUCCACUACUGCCAUUACGGAUGGCCUUACCAACAUUACCCACCAAAGUAGAACAAACAUCUGGUGACGUUGGGAGAAUCAGAAACCCAAUUACUGCAUUCACAAAUUCAAAUUGGACUCCUCUUGAUGGUAUUGCCGUCUCUUUAUCUUCUGGUUCUUUUGAGGAAAAGAACCCCCCAAAAGAAGACGUGGAUGCUUAUGUACAAAGGGGCCUCUAUGUUAUCCAUUCAAGGAAAAGAUUACAGGUGUUUCUGGUAUUCUGUCAGGAGUAGAUGCUUUUACUUAACAAUCCGCAAUAUAUAACUCGGCUUUGGUUGCAGAACUAAGGUAAUGUUAGAAGUGGAGACAAAUUUUAAUUUUACUUCUUAG